This 268-nucleotide long non-coding RNA is filed under the name Fragaria vesca (wild strawberry). RNAcentral's name for it is "long non-coding RNA (FVES_LNC003397)". The record is from RNAcentral. Lineage: Eukaryota; Viridiplantae; Streptophyta; Magnoliopsida; Rosales; Rosaceae.
UAUAUAUAUAUAUAUAUAUAUAUAUAUAUAUAUAUAUAUAUAUUCUAUCAUGUAGAUCGAAGUUGAUACUAAUUAUUUUGUUUUGGUUCCCAAUUAAGCAGGUGCACAUGCAGCUACGAUCACCUUCACCAACAACUGCCCCUACACCGUAUGGCCGGGAACCCUCACCUCCGCCCAACAACCCCAACUACCCACCACUGGCUUCGAGCUAGCACAAGGAGCCAACAACCAGGUCAUCACUCCAGUUCCAUGGAAUGGCCGCUUCUGG